Molecule: long non-coding RNA, 169 nt
Filed under: Chinchilla lanigera (long-tailed chinchilla)
Lineage: Eukaryota; Metazoa; Chordata; Mammalia; Rodentia; Chinchillidae
Description: lncRNA (ENSCLAG00000025693.1)
Source: RNAcentral
CUCAUGCUUUUAUGUCCAUUCUGCUCCUAAUGUGACCGAGGAGAAAAGUCUUGGUGAGCAGGGAGCUCCCCAAACCAGCUAUGGCUAGCAACGUUCUAAUUCUGCUGAGGCACUGUGAAGUCAGGUAGGCCAAGUACUUAUUUUCAGCAAUACCCUUUCUGCACAGGAU